Molecule: non-coding RNA, 1031 nt
Organism: Nicotiana tabacum (common tobacco)
Lineage: Eukaryota; Viridiplantae; Streptophyta; Magnoliopsida; Solanales; Solanaceae
Source: RefSeq, a predicted model, not a curated record
UAUAAUUCUAGAAGAACCAGCUUUUAUUUCUUUUGUUCCUAGGAUGGAGAAACAUUCCAAGCUUAUAUAUUAGUUCAUCAGUAAGGAAUUAGAAGAUUUUUGGGCUUUUUUGUUCCUGCUUGUAUUAGUCCAAUUGGAUACAGAUUAGCCAAGAGCAAACAGGUGAUCAACAUACUUGCUUGAGGACCAGAGGAGGUAAAAACCAAAAGAGAGAGAGAGAUGUUUUUUGGGCUUAUGGAGCAUUGCAGGUAAGAACCAAGAGAGAGAGAGAGAGAAAUAUUUUGUAGUUUAGCAUAAAAUAUUUUUUAGGUGAUGUAAUAAUGUAUUGGGCAAGUUUCUUGUUGCUCUUAUGGAAGUUACUGUAGGUUUGCCUCUUUUAUUUUUUUAUUUUUUGUCAAAGCUGAAAUUUUUUGCUCCUAUGCAUUGUAAGUAUUUUUCUAUUGAGCUAUUUUGUUAUCACGAUACUAUUUUUGUUUCUCUGCUCGCUUUAGCUCUUUUUGAGUUGGUGUCACCUUCACAAGUUUAAUCAAAGAAGAAUCUUACUACAGAUCUAGAUGGAAAGAGAAACAUAGAAGGUGAAAUAUGUUAAGUUAUCAUCUAUACUCCUUAGAUAGUCAUAGUUACUUCUCUUUGGAUCUUAGUUAUAGAAUAAGAAUUAUUUUAAGAGAACCACACUGAGUUUGAAUUGACACAUAUCCUUGUAAAGAACUUUUUAUGCAGUUUGUUAUGGAUUCUCUUGAAACCGAGUCUGCAGAUGGUAUUGAAAGUUCAAGAUAGGUGAUAUUUCCUGUGAUAAUGUUGACCCCCUAAAGGAGAUAUAUUGUUUAUGUAAAAAGAUAAAGAAAUGAACUUUAAUACCUUGUCAGCUAAAAAAAGGUUUUUACAAUUCCCCUUGUUGAUAAAAGUAAUGUGAUACUCUUUAGUCUUUUAGCUGAAGCUGCCUUUGACAAAUAAUUCUAUUCUAUUUGGCAAAACAUAUGCUUGGCAAUUAGGUGAUUUGAAAUUUAAUGUGAACAGAAAUCUAAGUUCAG